ACAGCAUGGCACUUAAACCCUGGGCUACACACGUGCUACAUUGG
RNAcentral lists this ribosomal RNA (44 nucleotides) under Proboscia inermis. RNAcentral describes it as "partial Bacterial small subunit ribosomal RNA". The record is from RNAcentral. Lineage: Eukaryota; Bacillariophyta; Melosirophyceae; Probosciales; Probosciaceae.